This 410-nucleotide ribosomal RNA is filed under the name Burkholderia multivorans. Its description in RNAcentral is "bacterial SSU rRNA". It matches the Rfam family "Bacterial small subunit ribosomal RNA", at positions 1 to 409 of the family's 1533-position model. Lineage: Bacteria; Pseudomonadati; Pseudomonadota; Betaproteobacteria; Burkholderiales; Burkholderiaceae. The record is from RNAcentral.
UUGAACUGAAGAGUUUGAUCCUGGCUCAGAUUGAACGCUGGCGGCAUGCCUUACACAUGCAAGUCGAACGGCAGCACGGGUGCUUGCACCUGGUGGCGAGUGGCGAACGGGUGAGUAAUACAUCGGAACAUGUCCUGUAGUGGGGGAUAGCCCGGCGAAAGCCGGAUUAAUACCGCAUACGAUCCACGGAUGAAAGCGGGGGACCUUCGGGCCUCGCGCUAUAGGGUUGGCCGAUGGCUGAUUAGCUAGUUGGUGGGGUAAAGGCCUACCAAGGCGACGAUCAGUAGCUGGUCUGAGAGGACGACCAGCCACACUGGGACUGAGACACGGCCCAGACUCCUACGGGAGGCAGCAGUGGGGAAUUUUGGACAAUGGGCGAAAGCCUGAUCCAGCAAUGCCGCGUGUGUGAA